GCGGCGGACGGGUUAGUAACGCGUGGGAACGUACCCAGAUCUAAGGAAUAGCCACUGGAAACGGUGAGUAAUACCUUAUACGCCCUUCGGGGGAAAGAUUUAUCGGAUUUGGAUCGGCCCGCGUUAGAUUAGGUAGUUGGUGGGGUAAUGGCCUACCAAGCCUACGAUCUAUAGCUGGUUUUAGAGGAUGAUCAGCAACACUGGGACUGAGACACGGCCCAGACUCCUACGGGAGGCAGCAGUGGGGAAUCUUAGACAAUGGGCGCAAGCCUGAUCUAGCCAUGCCGCGUGAGUGAUGAAGGCCUUAGGGUCGUAAAGCUCUUUCGCCUGUGAUGAUAAUGACAGUAGCAGGUAAAGAAACCCCGGCUAACUCCGUGCCAGCGGCCGCGGUAAUACGGAGGGGGUUAGCGUUGUUCGGAAUUACUGGGCGUAAAGCGCACGUAGGCGGAUUAGAAAGUUAGGGGUGAAAUCCCGGGGCUCAACCUCGGAACUGCCUCUAAAACUCCUAGUCUAGAGUUCGAGAGAGGUGAGUGGAAUUCCAAGUGUAGAGGUGAAAUUCGUAGAUAUUUGGAGGAACACCAGUGGCGAAGGCGGCUCACUGGCUCGAUACUGACGCUGAGGUGCGAAAGUGUGGGGAGCAAACAGGAUUAGAUACCCUGGUAGAAGGGCG
This 670-nucleotide ribosomal RNA is filed under the name uncultured Roseovarius sp. RNAcentral describes it as "bacterial SSU rRNA". It matches the Rfam family "Bacterial small subunit ribosomal RNA", at positions 95 to 797 of the family's 1533-position model. Lineage: Bacteria; Pseudomonadati; Pseudomonadota; Alphaproteobacteria; Rhodobacterales; Roseobacteraceae. The record is from RNAcentral.